This 483-nucleotide ribosomal RNA is filed under the name Streptococcus mutans. Its description in RNAcentral is "bacterial SSU rRNA". It matches the Rfam family "Bacterial small subunit ribosomal RNA", at positions 28 to 488 of the family's 1533-position model. Lineage: Bacteria; Bacillati; Bacillota; Bacilli; Lactobacillales; Streptococcaceae. The record is from RNAcentral.
GACGAACGCUGGCGGCGUGCCUAAUACAUGCAAGUGGGACGCAAGGAAACACACUGUGCUUGCACACCGUGUUUUCUUGAGUCGCGAACGGGUGAGUAACGCGUAGGUAACCUGCCUAUUAGCGGGGGAUAACUAUUGGAAACGAUAGCUAAUACCGCAUAAUAUUAAUUAUUGCAUGAUAAUUGAUUGAAAGAUGCAAGCGCAUCACUAGUAGAUGGACCUGCGUUGUAUUAGCUAGUUGGUAAGGUAAGAACUUACCAAGGCGACGAUACAUAGCCGACCUGAGAGGGUGAUCGGCCACACUGGGACUGAGACACGGCCCAGACUCCUACGGGAGGCAGCAGUAGGGAAUCUUCGGCAAUGGACGAAAGUCUGACCGAGCAACGCCGCGUGAGUGAAGAAGGUUUUCGGAUCGUAAAGCUCUGUUGUAAGUCAAGAACGUGUGUGAGAGUGGAAAGUCACACAGGGACGGAGCUACCAGAA